GAGAGGAUCUCGUACGCAGCAGGAGCCCGGGUCGAUUUCCCUGAGAUCUGCGAAAGAAAGAGGGGGUUCUGGAAAAAGUAGGAUCCUGAGUUGGAUCUUUCAGCGCAUGAUCACUUCUCAUCCGAUCCUGAUUGAAAAGUCCCGCCUUGGGACUUGUCUGCGUGUGAGGCUCCUUCUGACGUUCUCCUCCCCACCCUUCAGUCCCUUUUUCUCUCUGCAGCUAGAAAACGAUCGCCAGCGACAUCUUCCAACCAGCAGGCACGGCAAUGAAGGAUGUCAACUCCUUAGAGGAGGUGGCUUGAAAGAGUAGUAGUAGGAAGAGGCCACUGACUUCUGUAGGGCAUGGAUUUCAAAGCAACUGGAUGUGUUCUUCCGCCUCCUUUUUAUAUAUUAAGAAGCCAGAAACGAUACGAUAUAUUCUAAGCCAGGGAAAUUUAAGAAUCCAGCCGGUUGGACUGAUUCAAAACAAACCGUCUCUCACUAGCCCCCCUCCCACUGAAGCUGUUUCCCCGGAGAAAUUUGGAAAACGCCCUUCAGAGUAAAAGUAAGAUUGAUCCAAACUGUAUGAUCACUUAAUCAAACAACUGGAUGAUUCUCGUGGGCCUUUACCGACGGCGUAGAUUGAAGGCGAUUUCCCCUUUUGAAAGGGGACUUCUCCAGCCCCAUGAUCAUUUUGGUUGCCUUUUCCAGCUCUACGAUUUCCUUUUGGAGAGCUGCUGCAUACUGGGUUGACAUCUUCAUCAGCUAUCCACUGUGACCUUAAGGUCACAAUCCUGGUCAAUCACCACUAGUUCAGACUCCACUAGCAUAUAUGUGAAAUUAGGGGGAGGGGGUUGCCUCAAUAUGCAUCACUUUAUAUUUGUUUACACUGAAUUGUGUUUGCCGUUGUACUGCCUAUUCACUCAGUUUGGAGAUAUCUUUUGGAGCUCCUCACAGUCCACUUUUGCUUUUCCCACCCUGAACAAUUUGGUAUCAUCAGCAACCUUGGCUCCCUUAGUGCUCACCCAUAACUCUAUAUCAUAUUUAUGAACAAGUUAAAUCACACCUCUUAAUACUGAUCCUUGGGGGACUCCCUCCAUCGGGAGAACAACCAUUUCCUUAAGCAGGAACAGGAUGCUUACCUCUUAAGCUUACCGAUUAAUAAGGUGAGCUGUCCUAUUAUCCCAUGACUGUUAACUUACUUGGGAGUCUUUAGAGAGGGGCUUUAUGAAAAGCGUUUUGAAAGUCUUUAUACAUUGUCACCUGGAUCUUCUCUACCUAUAUGCUUGUUGAUACUUUCCAAGAACUCUUAAAGGUUAAUGAGGCAGGACUUUCUCUUGUAGAAGCCAUGCUGAUACUGCUUCAGCAAGACUUGUUCUUCUAUAUGCUUGUUAGUGCUACAUUUAAGAAUGCUUUCCACCAGUUUUUCUGGAACAGAUAUUAAGCUAACCAACCUGUAAUUUCCUGGAUCCCAAUUAGUUUCCUUUUUUAAAAAUGGGGAGAACUCCUGGAGGGCCAGAAGCUCUCCAUCCCUGAUAGGAAAAGAAGGAUCAGAUAAAAUGAUCCAUGUACUCCAGCAUUCUGUUUUUCACAGUGGCCCAACCAGAUGCCUUCAGGAAGUCCAGAAGCAGAGCUUAAAGACAAUAGCCUUCAUCCACUAUUGAUUCGCAACUAUUGGCAUACAGUGGCAUAUUGCCUCUGAACAUGGGGCUCCAUAUAGCCUACUGUGAGAUUAAUAGACAUUGAUAGACCUAUCCUAUGUAAGCUAAUGGCAUCACCACAUCUUGUGGCAGCAAAUUUAAUAAAUUUGUUAGGU
Long non-coding RNA from Rhineura floridana, 1795 nucleotides. RefSeq lists it as uncharacterized. NCBI's taxonomy places the organism in Eukaryota, Metazoa, Chordata, Lepidosauria, Squamata, Rhineuridae. The transcript has 3 exons. The record is from RefSeq and is a predicted model, not a curated record.